This 434-nucleotide ribosomal RNA is filed under the name uncultured bacterium. RNAcentral's name for it is "bacterial SSU rRNA". It matches the Rfam family "Bacterial small subunit ribosomal RNA", at positions 28 to 471 of the family's 1533-position model. The record is from RNAcentral.
AAUGAACGUUGGCGGCGUGGAUUAGGCAUGCAAGUCGUACGCUCCGCAAGGGGCGUGGCGCAAGGGUGAGUAAGGCGACGGCAACCAACCCCGCGGCCGGGCAUAGCCACUCGAAAGGGUGGGUAAUUCCCGGCACCCCAGAGUGAUGGCAUCAUCAUUCCGGGAUAGGUGAGACUCCGCCGUGGGACGGACCGUCGUGGUAUCAGCUUGUUGGCGGGGUAAUGGCCCACCAAGGCUAUGACGCCUACCGGGCGUGCGAGCGUGGCCCGGCACACUGGGACUGAGACACUGCCCAGACUCCUACGGGAGGCUGCAGUCGAGAAUCUUCGGCAAUGGGCGCAAGCCUGACCGAGCGACGCCGCGUGGAGGACGAAGGCCUUCGGGUUGUAAACUCCUGUCGAGGGGGAACAAGAGGUGGUGCAGAGCCAUCUUUG